RNAcentral lists this ribosomal RNA (484 nucleotides) under uncultured bacterium. RNAcentral's name for it is "partial 16S ribosomal RNA". It matches the Rfam family "Bacterial small subunit ribosomal RNA", at positions 30 to 507 of the family's 1533-position model. The record is from RNAcentral.
AUUGAACGCUGGCGGCAGGCCUAACACAUGCCAGUCGAGCGGAUGAAGGGAGCUUGCUCCUGGAUUCAGCGGCGGACGGGUGAGUAAUGCCUAGGAAUCUGCCUGGUAGUGGGGGAUAACGUCCGGAAACGGGCGCUAAUACCGCAUACGUCCUGAGGGAGAAAGUGGGGGAUCUUCGGACCUCACGCUAUCAGAUGAGCCUAGGUCGGAUUAGCUAGUUGGUGGGGUAAAGGCCUACCAAGGCGACGAUCCGUAACUGGUCUGAGAGGAUGAUCAGUCACACUGGAACUGAGACACGGUCCAGACUCCUACGGGAGGCAGCAGUGGGGAAUAUUGGACAAUGGGCGAAAGCCUGAUCCAGCCAUGCCGCGUGUGUGAAGAAGGUCUCCGGAUUGUAAAGCACUUUAAGUUGGGAGGAAGGGCAGUAAGUUAAUACCUUGCUGUUUUGACGUUACCAACAGAAUAAGCACCGGCUAACUUCGUG